GAUGAACGCUGGCGGCGUGCUUAACACAUGCAAGUCGAACGGUGAACACGGAGCUUGCUCUGUGGGAUCAGUGGCGAACGGGUGAGUAACACGUGAGCAACCUGCCCCUGACUCUGGGAUAAGCGCUGGAAACGGCGUCUAAUACUGGAUAUGUGACGUGACCGCAUGGUCUGCGUUUGGAAAGAUUUUUCGGUUGGGGAUGGGCUCGCGGCCUAUCAGCUUGUUGGUGAGGUAAUGGCUCACCAAGGCGUCGACGGGUAGCCGGCCUGAGAGGGUGACCGGCCACACUGGGACUGAGACACGGCCCAGACUCAUACGGGAGGCAGCAGUGGGGAAUAUUGCACAAUGGGCGCAAGCCUGAUGCAGCAACGCCGCGUGAGGGAUGACGGCCUUCGGGUUGUAAACCUCUUUUAGCAGGGAAGAAGCGAAAGUGACGGUACCUGAAGAAAAAGCGCCGGCUAACUACGUG
RNAcentral lists this ribosomal RNA (469 nucleotides) under uncultured bacterium. RNAcentral's name for it is "partial 16S ribosomal RNA". It matches the Rfam family "Bacterial small subunit ribosomal RNA", at positions 28 to 507 of the family's 1533-position model. The record is from RNAcentral.